AGUGCGGCGCCGGGCUCUGCCUGGGCUAGUGGCACCGACUUGGGAAUUCGUUUGAGAAACUUCGUAUUCCUCUGCCCUGGACACUUCCAAUUGUGGGGUGAGGGGAAAGAGAACCAAGAAAAGCAGAAACUGCUGACAUCCUAGCAGCCAGGAGAAAAAUGUCCUGGGAGAGACAGGUACUUGUUCCAGCAGUGAAAUGGGAUGCUCUGGGCUCAGGUACAAACAAGGGUGUUUAGAAACGCGGAUCUCCAGGGCUCAUGUGCCCAUUUCAGAGUGCAGACACGCAGCUCACCCACAGGGAAGACAGAGAAAGCUCUGACCCCAAGAGAAACCGACAUCAUACA
This 344-nucleotide long non-coding RNA is filed under the name Homo sapiens (human). Its description in RNAcentral is "HSALNT0339908". The record is from RNAcentral. Lineage: Eukaryota; Metazoa; Chordata; Mammalia; Primates; Hominidae.